This 430-nucleotide ribosomal RNA is filed under the name uncultured bacterium. RNAcentral describes it as "bacterial SSU rRNA". It matches the Rfam family "Bacterial small subunit ribosomal RNA", at positions 354 to 777 of the family's 1533-position model. The record is from RNAcentral.
GUAGGGAAUUUUCGUCAAUGGGGGGAACCCUGAACGAGCAAUGCCGCGUGAGUGAAGAAGGUCUUCGGAUCGUAAAGCUCUGUUGUAAGAGAAAAACGGACUCCAUAGGGAAUGAUGGAGGAGUGAUGGUAUCUUACCAGAAAGCCACGGCUAACUACGUGCCAGCAGCCGCGGUAAUACGUAGGUGGCGAGCGUUAUCCGGAAUCAUUGGGCGUAAAGGGUGCGUAGGUGGCACGAUAAGUCUGUAGUAAAAGGCAGCGGCUCAACCGCUGUUGGCUAUGGAAACUGUCGAGCUGGAGUGCAGAAGAGGGCGAUGGAAUUCCAUGUGUAGCGGUAAAAUGCGUAGAUAUAUGGAGGAACACCAGUGGCGAAGGCGGCCGCCUGGUCUGCAACUGACACUGAAGCACGAAAGCGUGGGGAGCAAAUAGGA